RNAcentral lists this ribosomal RNA (482 nucleotides) under uncultured bacterium. RNAcentral's name for it is "partial 16S ribosomal RNA". It matches the Rfam family "Bacterial small subunit ribosomal RNA", at positions 29 to 523 of the family's 1533-position model. The record is from RNAcentral.
AAUGAACGUUGGCGGCAUGGAUUAGGCAUGCAAGUCGAGCGAGAAGUGUAGCAAUACACGGAAAGCGGCGGAAGGGAGAGUAAUACGUGGGAAUCUGCCCUUAGACCUGGGAUAGCAGCGGGAAACUGCUGGUAAUACCAGAUAAUGUCUAUGGACCAAAGGUGUGAUUCCGUCUAGGGAUGAGCCCACGUCCUAUUAGCUAGUUGGUAGGGUAAUGGCCUACCAAGGCGAUGAUGGGUAGCGGGUGUGAGAGCAUGACCCGCCUCACUGGGCAUGAGACACUGCCCAGACACCUACGGGUGGCUGCAGUCGGUAGUCUUCGGCAAUGGGCGCAAGCCUGACCGAGCGAUGCCGCGUGCGGGAUGAAGGCCUUCGGGUUGUAAACCGCUGUCGAGGGGGAGCAACUUCCAUAGAGUUAUCUUUAUGGAUUGAGUGAUCCCUGGAGGAAGGACGGGCCAAGUUCGUGCCAGCAGCCGCGGUAA